This 433-nucleotide ribosomal RNA is filed under the name uncultured bacterium. Its description in RNAcentral is "partial 16S ribosomal RNA". The stretch from base 12 to 344 matches the Rfam family "Bacterial small subunit ribosomal RNA", at positions 39 to 400 of the family's 1533-position model. The record is from RNAcentral.
AACGAACGCUGGCGGCAUGCCUAACACAUGCAAGUCGAACGAGACCUUCGGGUCUAGUGGCGCACGGGUGCGUAACGCGUGGGAACCUGCCCUUAGGUUCGGAAUAACUCCCCGAAAGGGGUGCUAAUACCGGAUAAUGUCUUCGGACCAAAGAUUUAUCGCCUUUGGAUGGGCCCGCGUUGGAUUAGCUAGUUGGUAGGGUAAAAGCCUACCAAGGCGACGAUCCAUAGCUGGUCUGAGAGGAUGAUCAGCCACACUGGGACUGAGACACGGCCCAGACGACAGCGGGAGGAAGCAGGGGGGAAUGGGGGACAAGGGGGGAAAGGUGGAGAAAGUAUUUCCGCGGGAAUGAUGAAGGCAGGAGGGGGGGAAAGCGCUGGGAACAGGGAGGAGCAGGCAAGUACGGUAAGAAGAAAAGACGACUAAACGAGGG